Molecule: ribosomal RNA, 415 nt
Filed under: uncultured bacterium
Lineage: Bacteria
Description: bacterial SSU rRNA
Rfam family: Bacterial small subunit ribosomal RNA
Source: RNAcentral
UCGGGAAUAUUGCGCAAUGGAGGAAACUCUGACGCAGUGACGCCGCGUAUAGGAAGAAGUUUUUCGGAAUGUAAACUAUUGUCGUUAGGGAAGAGAAAGGACAGUACCUAAGGAGGAAGCUCCGGCUAACUACGUGCCAGCAGCCGCGGUAAUACGUAGGGAGCGAGCGUUAUCCGGAAUUAUUGGGUGUAAAGGGUGCGUAGACGGGAGAGCAAGUUAGUUGUGAAAUCCCUCGGCUUAACUGAGGAACUGCAACUAAAACUACUUUUCUUGAGUGCAGGAGAGGUAAGUGGAAUUCCUAGUGUAGCGGUGAAAUGCGUAGAUAUUAGGAGGAACACCAGUGGCGAAGGCGACCUACUGGACUGUAACUGACGUUGAGGCACGAAAGUGUGGGGAGCAAACAGGAUUAGAUACC